AAAAGAUCACAAUGCAACUCCUCAGCUUUCAUUUGUUUCUUCAUAUAUAUCUAUUUACGACAAUGUGCCUACUUUUAGUUACAGCAAGACUUGCCUGCGGCUCUGACGGGUAUUGUGUGAAUAAGGAUGGGUUUUGUAAAUAUGUAAAGGUUCCGUCAGCCGACUGCAGAGGCUCGACCUCAACUAUCUGUUGCCAACGAAGACCUGUUGGUUAAGUGUGCCGCAUUAAAUAUGUAACCAUAUUUAAAAUCCAAAAUUGUGUUAAGCCUAAAGCAUACUAGCAAUAAUUGAAUAUACUAUUAUGAAUAUUAUUGGUUAAGCUAUAUUAUAUCUGAUGCUUAUGAAUUCGCAUAGUUAAAAGCAAAUAUGCAAUAUUUUUGGAUGAGGUUCCAAAUAGUACAAUUGAAAUCAGUGGCAAAUGAUUUAAAUUUACGUUACGAUGCUGUACGUGGCGAAUGUAAUUAAGAUAAGAGUUUUAAAAACCCGAGUGACCUCUCGGGAGUGGUUCUUCCUUGGGGUCAACCUGAAAGUACCUUCAUCUAUCCAUUACAUGAGAAACCUCUCGAACACAAAAAAUUCUUGAAAGCCAUCAAGCCAAGCCGUGACAGACGAAAAACAAGUGAUCAGCAUAACGGCGACCCACGACGAGGCAGCCAAGUGUAAGGGCGAGAUGCAGAGACCGAGUGCCAGACAAUGCACCAUCAGACACGCAACCCCGAGCUCAGCUCAGUUUGGGGCAGCUCAUUACCUAGCCGCUUCAGUUGUGCCCAGCCCCAAAUGUUGCAGCAGCAGGCACUUCAGUGUAAAUCAUUACAAUAAUUCAAAUAAAGCGCCGCCAGGACGCGAUGAAGGA
Long non-coding RNA from Drosophila virilis, 853 nucleotides. RefSeq lists it as uncharacterized. NCBI's taxonomy places the organism in Eukaryota, Metazoa, Arthropoda, Insecta, Diptera, Drosophilidae. The record is from RefSeq and is a predicted model, not a curated record.